Molecule: long non-coding RNA, 339 nt
Organism: Helianthus annuus (common sunflower)
Lineage: Eukaryota; Viridiplantae; Streptophyta; Magnoliopsida; Asterales; Asteraceae
Exons: 3
Source: RefSeq, a predicted model, not a curated record
UCGCGAACCAGGAAGGAGAAAGGGGAAAAACCCCCUUAGCAUCACAAAUCACCAAAUUGAAGCCCCAAAUGUGAUCUUAAGAUCGUGCAUGUACUAAUAUUGGAUCAUCUACACAUUAUUAAACACAAGGAAUUAAGGAGGAAAGCACAAGCCGUUCCGAGUCUCAAACGAAGAACGAUAAAGGUAAAGCGACUUGCUAAAUGACGCUACUUGGAUCGAACACGCUCUUGAUGCACGCUUCCGCAAGGAUUUUAGUUUGGGUCAAAACUUUUGUUAAAUAUACUUUUGGUAAAUGGGUCUUUGUGUAAGUAACAAACUUGUUUGUUGUUAGAUGUCAAA